RNAcentral lists this long non-coding RNA (1011 nucleotides) under Nicotiana tabacum (common tobacco). RNAcentral describes it as "long non-coding RNA (NTAB_LNC012136)". Lineage: Eukaryota; Viridiplantae; Streptophyta; Magnoliopsida; Solanales; Solanaceae. The record is from RNAcentral.
ACCUUAAUGUUGGCUGAAUGGAAAAAGUUCAGUUUAGGAUUUAAAACCCUAAUACUGAUUGCAUGGAAAAGCUCAGUUUAGGGUUUAAAACCCUAAUGCUGGCCGAAUGGAAAAAGUUCAGUUUAGGAUUUAAAACCCUAAUGCUGAUUGCAUGGAAAAGCUCAGUUUAGGGUUUAAAACCCUAAUGCUGACUAAAGGAAAAGUUCAGUUUAGGAUUUAAAACCCUAAUGCUGACUAAAGGAAAAGUUCAGUUUAGGGUUUAAAACCCUAAUGCUGACUGAAGGGAAAAUUCAGUUUAGGGUUUAAAACCCUAAUGCUGAUUGCAUGGAAAAGUUCAGUUUAGGGUUUAAAACCCUAAUGCUGACUAAAGGAAAAGUUCAGUUUAGGGUUUAAAACCCUAAUGCUGACUAACAGGAAAAAUUCAGUUUAGGGUUUAAAACCCUAAUGCUGACUAAAUGGAAAAAGUUCAUCUUAGGGUUUAAAACCCUAAUGCUGACUGAAUGGAAAAAGUUUAGUUUAGGGUUUAAAACCCUAAUGCUGACUAAAGGGAAAAGUUCAGUUUAGGGUUUAAAACCCUAAUGCUGACCGAAAGGAAAAAGUUCAGUUUAGGGUUUAAAACCCUAAUGCUGUCUGAAUGGAAAAAGUUCAGUUUAGGGUUUAAAACCCUAAUGCUGACUACAUGGAAAAGCUCAGUUUAGGGUUUAAAACCCUAAUGCUGGCUGAAUGAAAAAAGUUCAGUUUAGGGUUUAAAACCCUAAUGCUGACUAAAGGGAAAAUUCAGUUUAGGGUUUAAAACCCUAAUGCUAAUUGCAUGGAAAAACUCAGUUUAGGGUUUAAAACCCUAAUGCUGGCUGAAUGGAAAAAGUUCAGUUUAGGGUUUUAAAACCCUAAUGCUGACUAAAAGGAAAAUUCAGUUUAGGGUUUAAAACCCUAAUGCUGAUUGCAUGGAAAAGCUCAGUUUAGGGCUUAAAACCCUAAUGCUGGCUGAAUGGAAAAAGCUCAGUUUAGGGU